This 221-nucleotide long non-coding RNA is filed under the name Trifolium pratense (red clover). RNAcentral's name for it is "long non-coding RNA (TPRA_LNC005723)". Lineage: Eukaryota; Viridiplantae; Streptophyta; Magnoliopsida; Fabales; Fabaceae. The record is from RNAcentral.
GAUGACAAAUCGUCACACUCUCUAAUCCAUGCCUAUUUUAGCAACAUUAGAUACAUUUUAAUAGUUUUUUAGCAAUAAAUAUGAGAGAAAUCUAACCAUUAGCUUGAUUACUUGAUUUGCAAGAAAACAGGAAAAACUGCAGGAUUUGAAGGAUUUUUACUACGCCGGGGGCGUAGCCCAUCACGCGCCGCGUGAUGGAGCUCACAGGGAGCCAAGAUUUU